Molecule: ribosomal RNA, 476 nt
Filed under: uncultured Bacteroidota bacterium
Lineage: Bacteria; Pseudomonadati; Bacteroidota
Description: bacterial SSU rRNA
Rfam family: Bacterial small subunit ribosomal RNA
Source: RNAcentral
GCGUAUGCAAUCUACCUAUAACUGAGGGAUAGCCCAGAGAAAUUUGGAUUAAUACCUCAUAAUAAUAUUUUUUGGCAUCAUUAAAUAUUUAAAACCCCGGUGGUUAUAGAUGAGCAUGCGUUCUAUUAGUUUGUUGGUGAGGUAAAGGCUCACCAAGACUACGAUAGAUAGGGGGCCUGAAAGGGUGAUCCCCCACACUGGUACUGAGACACGGACCAGACUCCUACGGGAGGCAGCAGUGAGGAAUAUUGCACAAUGGAGGAAACUCUGAUGCAGCCAUGCCGCGUGCAGGAUGACGGCCCUAUGGGUUGUAAACUGCUUUUUUACAAGAAGAAACCUUGGUACGUGUACCAACUUGACGGUAUUGUAAGAAUAAGCACCGGCUAACUCCGUGCCAGCAGCCGCGGUAAUACGGAGGGUGCAAGCGUUAUCCGGAUUUAUUAGGUUUAAAGGGUUCGCAGGCGGAAUUUUAAGUC